AAGUCGUAACAAGGUUUCCGUAGGUGAACCUGCGGAAGGAUCAUUACCAAUUGGGCGAGAAAUCGCUCUGUACCUGUUCGGCGGUCCUCACGGGCCGCUGACCGGUCAACCCUCUGUGAACCAAAAAACCCUUUCGCUUCGGCAGCUGGGCCUGACCGCCUGUCAGCCUGCCGUUAGCACCAAACAUCAAAACCUGUUGUAUAACGAAUGUCUGAUAACCAAAAUUUUCGAAUGAAAAUCAAAACUUUCAACAACGGAUCUCUUGGUUCCCA
RNAcentral lists this unclassified non-coding RNA (272 nucleotides) under fungal sp. RNAcentral describes it as "partial internal transcribed spacer region". The stretch from base 1 to 46 matches the Rfam family "Eukaryotic small subunit ribosomal RNA", at positions 1786 to 1831 of the family's 1831-position model. Lineage: Eukaryota; Fungi. The record is from RNAcentral.